This 465-nucleotide ribosomal RNA is filed under the name uncultured bacterium. RNAcentral's name for it is "bacterial SSU rRNA". It matches the Rfam family "Bacterial small subunit ribosomal RNA", at positions 8 to 518 of the family's 1533-position model. The record is from RNAcentral.
AGAGUUUGAUUCUGGCUCAGAACGAACGCUGGCGGCAUGCCUAACACAUGCAAGUCGAACGAAGGCUUCGGCCUUAGUGGCGCACGGGUGAGUAACGCGUGGGAAUCUGCCCAGCAGUGGGGAAUAACGAUGGGAAACUGUCGCUAAUACCGCAUACGCCCUUCGGGGGAAAGAUUUAUUGCUGUUGGAUGAGCCCGCGUCCGAUUAGGUAGUUGGUGGGGUAAAGGCCUACCAAGCCUGCGAUCGGUAGCUGGUCUGAGAGGAUGAUCAGCCACACUGGGACUGAGACACGGCCCAGACUCCUACGGGAGGCAGCAGUGGGGAAUAUUGGACAAUGGGGGAAACCCUGAUCCCAGCAAUGCCGCGUGAGUGAUGAAGGCCUUAGGGUUGUAAAGCUCUUUCGGGUGGGACGAUGAUGACGGUACCACCAGAAGAAGCCCCGGCUAACUUCGUGCCAGCCGCUGC